AUUAAGUCUUGCAGAAAGCUUGGGAGGAGCUGCUGACAAUGGAAUUGAGGAAGAAAAGUCUCGUUGAAUUCAUUAGAAAAUGGUACAUCUCUUAGCUCCAUUUGUUUUCAAAUAUCUUCUGCCAUUUCUGUUGUUGCAGGUUUUCGACGCAGAAUGAGAAUGAUUAAAGGUCAAGGGUUCUAAAAUCCAAAAACAUUAUGACACAAAGUUCUACUAAUAGUUCCAUCUUAUGAUGCAGCAUGAUGUCCUUUCAUAGUUUUAGGUACUGGUAAAGCUGUGGAUGUAGAGACUAUCAAUUUCUCACAUCAAGCUUCCUUCUUGAUACAGUCUCAUAUACUGCAGAGUGUUAAUACAGGAACUUCUACAAGCAGGAUUUAUUGCUGUUGAAGAUCUUACACAUCUUCUUGUCCCUCUAUGACAUGACGCUGGGACUAAGAUCCUGAUCCACUGAACUUUAGCAAGACUCUCAAAUUCACAAGGGUUUUCAUUUCAGUUGCCUUGUCUUAGUAAACCUGAGAUCGAUCUCAGGCUGAGGAAAGAAGCUUAUGUUAGACUGAAUCAAACAAGUUGCAGAGGUGGUUGGUCUUGGUUGGAGGAAUUCUGAUUCGGUUCAAGAAGGUUAACCGCAAUAUAAUUCCGGUUAUACUGCCCCGACUGGUGAGAAGAAGUAACACCCGACUCGUAAACUGUCCCUUGAUGUAUCACACUCGAUUCUUGUUGCUGUAGACCUGUUCUUUCAGUAAUCUGCAGAGAUAUUUAGAAUUUGCACAUCAAGAGAUUGUCUACCGGAAAAAAAUGAUGAUCAAAAAUGCCAAAAAGAGUUAUGUAUAAAACCUUGGAGCGGAGAUACAUGUUAUCGUUUUGCAGCUCGAUUUCCUACAAUGCAAGCGACAACAGAAAAUAAAAAAAGAUGAUCAUCAGAAAGAGAAGUUGCUAAUAAAGUAGGGGGUAAGUUACUUGUGAAGGAAGAUAGGUUUUACUUUUACCCUUUUUUGCAUGUAUUCAAUCUCUGCAACUAACAUCUCGUGCUGGAGAGAAAAACCAAAUAUAACGGGCAAGAAUCAGAUGGAUAUAUAUUCAAUGAUAAGGAGAUUGAUGGAGAGUUAGUGAUUGUACCUUCUUGGAUCGGACACGACUGAUUCCUUUCUCAAGCCUACUUUCAAGGUUCUUGAGUUCCUUAAAGUUCAAGGAACCAAGAGAUUCACCAAGAAUGUGUCUGUUCAAAUUCUGAAUGUCCCGAAUCUGUCUCCGGAGUUUAGACGCCUCUUGCUGAUAGUACUUCAUCAAUUUCGAUCCCAUCAUUGUUACAAGAGGUGAAAAAAAGGUCAGAUAACUAAAAGAAGAAGAAAUUAAGUAAUUAACGAACUAGCUAGCUAGGUGUAUUAAUUAAAAGCUAACCUGAGUAUUAGCUUCGGUGAUGGUCGGAGGGUUAACGGCGUCGGAGCAAGCUUUCUUGUACCUUUCUAUUGUUCCUCUCACACUUCAUCAACAUUCACACAAAGGAAAAGAUUUUAAAAUGCAAUCUUUUUUGUGGUAGCUAUAUAUGUAAAUAGAUGCAAUCGGUGAAAAUCUCAAACUUAAACCACCACAAGUAAAACAAAGACACACGAAACUAUAACUGUUGGAUUCAAACACUAAAACCAGAAGAGAAAAAAAUAUAUAUAUAUGAAGUCGUUAAAGAAAUUGAUAUUUUUAUCUUCUGGAUAUACAAAACACACAGAAAGACGGAUAUUAAG
This 1736-nucleotide long non-coding RNA is filed under the name Arabidopsis thaliana (thale cress). Its description in RNAcentral is "potential natural antisense gene, locus overlaps with AT2G42830 (AT2G42835)". The record is from RNAcentral. Lineage: Eukaryota; Viridiplantae; Streptophyta; Magnoliopsida; Brassicales; Brassicaceae.